GGGGUUGUAGCUCAGUGAUAGAGUGCUUGCCUCUCAUGCAUGAGGCACUGGGUUCAAUCCUUAGCACCA
This 69-nucleotide transfer RNA is filed under the name Ictidomys tridecemlineatus (thirteen-lined ground squirrel). RNAcentral describes it as "Spermophilus tridecemlineatus (thirteen-lined ground squirrel) tRNA". It matches the Rfam family "tRNA". Rfam says of the family: Transfer RNA (tRNA) molecules are approximately 80 nucleotides in length. Their secondary structure includes four short double-helical elements and three loops (D, anti-codon, and T loops). Further hydrogen bonds mediate the characteristic L-shaped molecular structure. tRNAs have two regions of fundamental functional importance: the anti-codon, which is responsible for specific mRNA codon recognition, and the 3' end, to which the tRNAs corresponding amino acid is attached (by aminoacyl-tRNA synthetases). tRNAs cope with the degeneracy of the genetic code in two manners: having more than one tRNA (with a specific anti-codon) for a particular amino acid; and 'wobble' base-pairing, i.e. permitting non-standard base-pairing at the 3rd anti-codon position. Lineage: Eukaryota; Metazoa; Chordata; Mammalia; Rodentia; Sciuridae. The record is from Rfam by way of RNAcentral.